This 108-nucleotide microRNA precursor is filed under the name Sphingopyxis panaciterrulae. Its description in RNAcentral is "microRNA MIR1846". The record is from RNAcentral. Lineage: Bacteria; Pseudomonadati; Pseudomonadota; Alphaproteobacteria; Sphingomonadales; Sphingopyxidaceae.
CGAAGUGACCGUCGCCCCCGCGAAGGCGGGGGCCGCCGGAGGUUUACGCAUCGCUGCCGGAUAGGGCCGACAGCGGCCCCCGCCUUCGCGGGGGCGAUGGUCUUUCCU